Cebus imitator (Panamanian white-faced capuchin) is the source of this 387-nucleotide long non-coding RNA. RefSeq lists it as uncharacterized. Lineage: Eukaryota; Metazoa; Chordata; Mammalia; Primates; Cebidae. The record is from RefSeq and is a predicted model, not a curated record. The transcript has 3 exons.
CUCAUCAUCCGAGGUCAUACUUGGCCCUGGUAAGAAAACUACAGAAUCGAGGGUGUGGGGAACUCCUAAAACUUCAUCAGAAGUCUUGAGGUAAUAAGGUAAAGAGAGGGCUAAGACUGCCAGAGGAGAGACAGAGAAUUAAACUUCAAAUGGCUAGAGGCCAGAGGCCAGAGGAAAUGAGACAGAAGGAGAAAUGGUGAUUGGCGCACCUUGGUAGGAAGAGAUCCCAGCAUUUGGACAAGGGACAUCCUAAGUAUUUCAGGAGGACAAAAAGAACCAGCUGUCCAGAGAAGAAAUCUGAGCUGAAAUGUUCUAGCUGUUUUUGGCAAAGAAGCAGCUGAGUCUCCACCUUUCUACUGAUCACAGUUCAGGAAAUCACUGCAACUA